Molecule: unclassified non-coding RNA, 239 nt
Filed under: Hevea brasiliensis (rubber tree)
Lineage: Eukaryota; Viridiplantae; Streptophyta; Magnoliopsida; Malpighiales; Euphorbiaceae
Source: RNAcentral
GUCGGGCUUCAAAAGCAUGACCUAAUAAGGGAACUUGUUCCUGGGUUAUGGGAAGAGAUUCUCCAUUUGCAACACGGAUUUGCCACUCAACAAGAUCUUGACCCACUAUCAUCUCGGUAACAGGAUGUUCAACCUGAAGGCGAGUAUUCAUCUCCAUGAAAUAAAAUUGACCGGAGAUGGUAUCAACUAUGAACUCCACUGUCCCAGCACUGUAAUAACCAACUGCCUUUAUGCACCAA